This 253-nucleotide ribosomal RNA is filed under the name uncultured bacterium. RNAcentral describes it as "partial 16S ribosomal RNA". It matches the Rfam family "Bacterial small subunit ribosomal RNA", at positions 524 to 776 of the family's 1533-position model. The record is from RNAcentral.
UACGUAGGGGGCAAGCGUUGUCCGGAAUCAUUGGGCGUAAAGCGCGCGUAGGCGGCCCGGUAAGUCCGUUGUGAAAGUCAAAGGCUCAACCUUUGAACGCCGAUGGAUACUGCCGGGCUAGAGUCCGGAAGAGGCGAGUGGAAUUCCUGGUGUAGCGGUGGAAUGCGCAGAUAUCAGGAGGAACACCAAUAGCGAAGGCAGCUCGCUGGGACGGUACUGACGCUGAGGCGCGAAAGUGUGGGGAGCAAACAGG